GAUAAAGCAAUGACAAAGAGUAGUACAUUUGCUCAGGGAUUAAAGAGAGUUUGUGGCUGGUGGAAACAAACAUCCCGGCAAAUCGAAUGGACUUUAGAGCUCCGGCUGCGAAAGGCUGCUUCCUGCUGCCUAUUAGCUUCCGGCGUAUCCCGCGUUAUGGGAAGCCCGGCCUGCAGGCAAGCCGGGGUUAAGAGGCCUCAGCCGAGGCACUUAGGGUGGCACCGCGGACCAUUCGUCCCUAUU
This 243-nucleotide non-coding RNA is filed under the name Bacillus infantis. RNAcentral's name for it is "T-box sequence". It matches the Rfam family "T-box leader". Rfam says of the family: Uncharged tRNA acts as the effector for transcription antitermination of genes in the T-box leader family. T-boxes are found upstream of many aminoacyl-tRNA synthetase genes and some amino acid biosynthetic genes usually in Gram-positive bacteria. The record is from RNAcentral. Lineage: Bacteria; Bacillati; Bacillota; Bacilli; Caryophanales; Bacillaceae.